Molecule: long non-coding RNA, 492 nt
Organism: Chelonoidis abingdonii (Abingdon island giant tortoise)
Lineage: Eukaryota; Metazoa; Chordata; Testudines; Testudinidae
Source: RefSeq, a predicted model, not a curated record
CCUGAGCGAACCAGUGGCUACCCACCAAUUCCCAAGCUGAGUUCCUGAUCUGGAUCCUCACCCUGUCCCCUCUCCUGUCUGACCCCGACCCCACCCUGACUGACUCUAAUCCCUCACCCGGACUGGGGCCGGACAUGCCCUAGCUGAUCCCCCAGACCAUGAACCUUCACCCUGAGCAGCCCAGACUGACCGUGAGUUCUGUACCUAAUCCAAACCCAAACGGAGACUGACCAAACCAAGACCAUGACAUGGAUUUUAAAUCGGCUGUCGGUAUUCAAGCAAACUCCUACUGUCAAGAGUGAAAAUCUCUGGAUUUGGCACUAUACAGUGUCCAUGUGAAGGCCUUGCAGAGCUCGAUGACAGAUUGGAGCCUGUAGCUCUGAAGGAAGAAUUUACUGUGAACUUCAUAUAGUUCCUGUAAACUAUGAACAUUGGACUGAUGCACUGCUGAUGUUACCAUUUUACCUUGCUAAACAUUAUUAAACUAAAAAA